Molecule: transfer RNA, 72 nt
Filed under: Capra hircus (goat)
Lineage: Eukaryota; Metazoa; Chordata; Mammalia; Artiodactyla; Bovidae
Also listed under: 1 other name
Rfam family: tRNA
About the family: Transfer RNA (tRNA) molecules are approximately 80 nucleotides in length.
Source: Rfam by way of RNAcentral
UCCCUGGUGGCUCAGGUGGUAAAGCAUCUGCCUGCAAUGUGGGAGACCUGGGUUCGAUCCCUGGGUGGGGAA